Molecule: ribosomal RNA, 468 nt
Filed under: uncultured bacterium
Lineage: Bacteria
Description: partial 16S ribosomal RNA
Rfam family: Bacterial small subunit ribosomal RNA
Source: RNAcentral
GACGAACGCUGGCGGCGUGCUUAACACAUGCAAGUCGAACGGAAAGGCCCUGCUUUUGUGGGGUGCUCGAGUGGCGAACGGGUGAGUAACACGUGAGUAACCUGCCCCUGACUUUGGGAUAACUUCAGGAAACUGGGGCUAAUACCGGAUAGGAGCUCCUGCUGCAUGGUGGGGGUUGGAAAGUUUCGGCGGUUGGGGAUGGACUCGCGGCUUAUCAGCUUGUUGGUGGGGUAGUGGCUUACCAAGGCUUUGACGGGUAGCCGGCCUGAGAGGGUGACCGGCCACAUUGGGACUGAGAUACGGCCCAGACUCCUACGGGAGGCAGCAGUGGGGAAUAUUGCACAAUGGGCGGAAGCCUGAUGUAGCAACGCCGCGUGCGGGAUGACGGCCUUCGGGUUGUAAACCGCUUUCGCCUGUGACGAAGCGUGAGUGACGGUAAUGGGUAAAGAAGCACCGGCUAACUACGUG